RNAcentral lists this non-coding RNA (29 nucleotides) under Bombyx mori (domestic silkworm). The record is from RNAcentral. Lineage: Eukaryota; Metazoa; Arthropoda; Insecta; Lepidoptera; Bombycidae.
UAUCACGUGAUGCUUGGUUCGCGUCCCGC